RNAcentral lists this ribosomal RNA (408 nucleotides) under Fusobacteriota bacterium. RNAcentral describes it as "Fusobacteria bacterium partial 16S ribosomal RNA". It matches the Rfam family "Bacterial small subunit ribosomal RNA", at positions 355 to 776 of the family's 1533-position model. Lineage: Bacteria; Fusobacteriati; Fusobacteriota. The record is from RNAcentral.
UGGGGAAUAUUGCACAAUGGACGGAAGUCUGAUGCAGCAACGCCGCGUGCAGGAUGACGGCCUUCGGGUUGUAAACCGCUUUUUCUCAUGACGAAGUUUUUUGACGGUAGUGGGGGAAGAAGCACCGGCUAACUACGUGCCAGCAGCCGCGGUGAUACGUAGGGUGCGAGCGUUGUCCGGAAUUAUUGGGCGUAAAGAGCUUGUAGGCGGUUUGUCGCGUCGAUAGUGCAAACUCAGUGCUUAACGCUGAGCCUGCUGUUGAUACGGGCAGACUAGAGGAAGGUAGGGGAGAAUGGAAUUCCCGGUGGAGCGGUGGAAUGCGCAGAUAUCGGGAGGAACACCGGUGGCGAAGGCGGUUCUCUGGGCCUUUCCUGACGCUGAGAAGCGAAAGCGUGGGGAGCGAACAGG